UUUCCGUAGCAAUACGGGGAUGGGCGCACGGCGCACGGGUGCGUAACACGUGGGCAAUCUGCCCUCCGAUGGGGAAUACCCCCGCGAAAGCGGGACUAAUUCCGCAUAACAUUCCUUGGAUUAACUUUCGAGGAUUCAAAGCAGCAAUGCGUCGGAGGAGGAGCCCGCGCCCGAUUAGCUAGUUGGUGAGGUAACGGCUCACCAAGGCAAUGAUCGGUAGCUGGUCUGAGAGGAUGGCCAGCCACACUGGAACUGAGACACGGUCCAGACUCCUACGGGAGGCAGCAGUGGGGAAUCUUGCACAAUGGGCGAAAGCCUGAUGCAGCGACGCCGCGUGGGGGAUGAAGCUUUUCGGAGUGUAAACCCCUUUCGACUGGGACGAAUGCCUCGCAAGAGGAGUGACGGUACCAGUAUAAGAAGCCCCGGCUAACUACGUGCCAGCAGCCGCGGUAAGACGUAGGGGGCCAGCGUUGUUCGGAAUUACUGGGUGUAAAGGGUUCGUAGGCGGUGUGGCAAGUCGGGAGUGAAAUCUCUGGGCUCAACCCAGAGACUGCUUCCGAAACUGCUGUGCUUGAGUGUGAGAGAGGCUCGUGGAAUUGCAGGUGUAGCGGUGAAAUGCGUAGAUAUCUGCAGGAACACCCGUGGCGAAAGCGGCGAGCUGGAUCACUACUGACGCUGAGGAACGAAAGCUAGGGGAGCAAACAGGAUUAGAUACCCUGGUAGUCCUAGCCCUAAACGAUCAGGACUUGGGGUGCCGCCCGUUCGGGCGUCGUCCCGGAGCUAACGCGUUAAGUCCUGCACCUGGGGAGUACGGUCGCAAGACUG
RNAcentral lists this ribosomal RNA (825 nucleotides) under uncultured Bacteroidota bacterium. RNAcentral's name for it is "bacterial SSU rRNA". It matches the Rfam family "Bacterial small subunit ribosomal RNA", at positions 71 to 896 of the family's 1533-position model. The record is from RNAcentral. Lineage: Bacteria; Pseudomonadati; Bacteroidota.